RNAcentral lists this ribosomal RNA (1410 nucleotides) under Escherichia coli. RNAcentral describes it as "16S ribosomal RNA". It matches the Rfam family "Bacterial small subunit ribosomal RNA". Lineage: Bacteria; Pseudomonadati; Pseudomonadota; Gammaproteobacteria; Enterobacterales; Enterobacteriaceae. The record is from RNAcentral.
AAAUUGAAGAGUUUGAUCAUGGCUCAGAUUGAACGCUGGCAGGCCUACACAUGCAAGUUCGAACGUAACAGGAAAGAAGUUUGCUUCUUUGCUGACGAGUGACGGUGAGUAAUGUUCUGAAACCGCCUGAUGGAGGGGGAUAUUAACCACAAAACGGUAGCCAUUACCGCAUAACGUCAAGAUCGAAAGAGGGAAUCUUCACACGAUGUGCCCAGAUGGAUUAGCUAGUAGUGGGUAACGGUUCACCCAGGCGACGAUCCUCUAGCUGGUCUGAGGAGGUAUAAUUCAGCCACAUCUGAACUGAGACAUCGGUCCAGACUCCCAUGGCGGCAGCAGUGGGGAAUAUUGCACUACCGGCAAGCUCCGAUGCAAGCCAUGCUGCGUGUAAGGAAGAAGGCCUUCGGUUGUAAAAUUCGGGAGGAAGGUAAAGUUAAAUACCUUGCUCACGACGUUACCUACCCGCUAACUUCGCAGCGCGUAAUACGGAGGGUGCAAGCGUUAACGUAACUACUGGCGCAACGCAGGCGGUAUGGUCGGUUGUCAGAUGUGAAAUCCUUCGGGUCAACCUGAACUGCAUCUGAUAAUUGGCAAGCUUUGAGUCUCGUGAGGGUAGAAUCCGCGUGCGGUAACGAUUCCGAGGAAUACCGCGGCGAAGGCGGCCCUCGGACGAAGAUCAAUGCCCGUGGGUGCGUUUUGGGAGCAAAACAGGAUUAGAUACCCCGGUAUCCACGUCAAACGAUGCUGACUGGAGGCGUAGCCCUUGAGGCGUGGUCGGAGUUAACGCGUUAAGUCGACCGCUCCUGUGGAGUACCGCAAGGUUAAAACCUACCGACGAUGGGGUCUGCACAAGCGGUGGAGCAUAAAUCUUUGAUAAAACGCGAAGAACCCUUUACCGGUCUGACAUCCACGGAAGUUCUGCAUGAAAUGCCCUGGGAACCGGGAGACAGGUGCUGCAUUGUCGUCAGCUCGUAUUGUGAAAUGCUGGCGUCCGCACGAGCGGCAAACCUUAGUCCUUUGUUGCCAUGGUCCGCCGUGGAACUCAGCACCGCUGGCGAUAAAUCCGAGGAGUUGUAAUUUACGUCGUCAUCGCGGUCCUUACGCGACCGUACAUACACACGUGCUACAAUGCGUACAAAAGAGAAGCGACUUCGCGAGAGCAAGCGGACCCCAUAAAGUGCGUCGUAGUCCGGAUUGAGUCUGCAAUUGACCUACGAAGUCGAAUCGCUAGUAAUCGCAGGAUCGAAUGGUGAAUACGUCCCUGGCCAUUCUCGUACACACCCGCCCAGUCACCGCUGGAGUGGUUUAAAGAAGCGAAAUAACCAGAUAAGGCCACUACCAGGAUCCAUGAUCAGUAAGUCAAAUGGUAACCGUAGGGAACCUGGUAUUGAUCACCUCCCACCUUAAAGAAGC